RNAcentral lists this non-coding RNA (37 nucleotides) under unclassified sequences. RNAcentral describes it as "DUF805b RNA". It matches the Rfam family "DUF805b RNA". From Rfam's summary of the family: Bacteroidetes, Chlorobi (1 example), Proteobacteria. Lineage (Flavobacteria) The record is from RNAcentral.
GCAGGGGAAUCCGAAAACCUGAGCAAAAGAGUAGGAU